AUUGAACGCUGGCGGCAUGCUUUACACAUGCAAGUCGAACGGUAACAGGGUGCUUGCACCGCUGACGAGUGGCGAACGGGUGAGUAAUACAUCGGAAUGUACCCAGUAAUGGGGGAUAACGCUUCGAAAGGAGUGCUAAUACCGCAUACGCCCUGAGGGGGAAAGUGGGGGACCGCAAGGCCUCACGUGAUUGGAGCAGCCGAUGGCUGAUGAGCUAGUUGGUGAGGUAAGGGCUCACCAAGGCGACGAUCAGCAGCGGGUCGUCGAAGACGACCCGCCACACGGGAACUGAGACACGGUCCAGACUCCGACGGGAGGCAGCAGUGGGGAAUCUUGGACAAUGGGAGAAAGCCUGAUCCAGCAAUGCCGCGUGCGUGAAGAAGGCCUUCGGGUUGUAAAGCGCUUUUGUCUGGGAGCAAAUCCUGGCCUCUAAUACAGGUCGGGGAUGAGAGUACCAGAAGAAUAAGGACCGGCUAACUACGUGCCAGCAGCCGCCGUAA
RNAcentral lists this ribosomal RNA (500 nucleotides) under uncultured bacterium. RNAcentral's name for it is "partial 16S ribosomal RNA". It matches the Rfam family "Bacterial small subunit ribosomal RNA", at positions 29 to 523 of the family's 1533-position model. The record is from RNAcentral.